UGGGGAAUAUUGCACAAUGGCGCAAGCCUGAUGCAGCAACGCCGCGUGAGGGAAGACGGUUUUCGGAUUGUAAACCUCUGUCAUUAGUGACGAAGAAGUGACGGUAGCUAAUGAGGAAGCCACGGCUAACUACGUGCCAGCAGCCGCGGUAAUACGUAGGUGGCGAGCGUUAUCCGGAAUUACUGGGUGUAAAGGGAGCGCAGGCGGGAUAGCAAGUCAGCGGUGAAAUGCAUGGGGCUUAACCCAUGAGCUGCCGUUGAAACUGUUAUUCUUGAGUGUCGGAGAGGUAGACGGAAUUCCUAGUGUAGCGGUGAAAUGCGUAGAUAUUAGGAGGAACACCAGUGGCGAAGGCGGUCUACUGGACGAUAACUGACGCUGAGGCGCGAAAGCGUGGGGAGCAAACAGGAUUAGAUACCCUGGUAGU
RNAcentral lists this ribosomal RNA (424 nucleotides) under uncultured Oscillospiraceae bacterium. RNAcentral describes it as "bacterial SSU rRNA". It matches the Rfam family "Bacterial small subunit ribosomal RNA", at positions 355 to 794 of the family's 1533-position model. Lineage: Bacteria; Bacillati; Bacillota; Clostridia; Eubacteriales; Oscillospiraceae. The record is from RNAcentral.